Cygnus olor (mute swan) is the source of this 611-nucleotide long non-coding RNA. RefSeq lists it as uncharacterized. NCBI's taxonomy places the organism in Eukaryota, Metazoa, Chordata, Aves, Anseriformes, Anatidae. The transcript is spliced from 2 exons. The record is from RefSeq and is a predicted model, not a curated record.
CCAAAAUUGGCCAGAGUUCUCAGGUACCUACCCUGAAAUGAUCUGAGGACAGGAUCCCAAACUAAAUCUGUCUGUGGAGGUAGCCACAAAGUUUUGGCAAACAAGAUCAGCCAGCUGUGUGGCAUCCAGGGCAGCAUUUAUAGCACAGGCAGUUUGUAUGUGGUCUUGGAGAGUAGCUACAUUUGUCUUUAUGGUGUCUGGGAGGCCACAAAUAAGGGGGAGUUAAGCUUGCCGGAUCAAUCAGGGCUAGCUUUAGGGAUCUCCGUAACAGAUCCUUCUCCUGCAUCGCUUGUAUGCAGGCUGGUUUUUGAAGAGAUGCAGCCAAAUCGGAGAACCCCGAGGUCUUCAUGACAAGGGAUUCUCCUCUUUCUUGUGGGUCUAUUCCACUGACCCGAUAGGCAGCUAAAAUGAAUCUAUGCCACUAAUCCAAUAGGCAGUUAAUACGUUUAUUUAAGGUAUAAAUGCUAUCGCAGGUAUUCCUCACCAAAGUGAAGGUGAAGGUGCAGAGCUUACCAAGGAGGUGUCCCUGUCUUGGUGGAGAAGGAGCACAGAACAUCGACUGCCUCUUCUAGGGUUGGGAACGUACACCGAUGGACACAAACGAAUUAGAG